UCAGGGAGUACAAGCUCAAACUGUUGCCAACUUUUACCUGGCUUUUGAGGCAGAGUUAGCUAUCAUACCAGUCAUUAACAAGAUAGAUCUUAAACAGGCAGAUGUAGAGUCCACGGAAGAACAGAUGAGACGACUCUUUGAUUUCAAAGACAAGGAUUUAUUUAAGAUAUCAGCCAAACUAGGGAUAAAUUGUAAAGAAAUUCUGGAUGCAGUGAUCCAGAGAAUACCACCGUAAGUAGACU
Long non-coding RNA from Branchiostoma floridae (Florida lancelet), 242 nucleotides. RefSeq lists it as uncharacterized. The record is from RefSeq and is a predicted model, not a curated record. The transcript is spliced from 3 exons. NCBI's taxonomy places the organism in Eukaryota, Metazoa, Chordata, Leptocardii, Amphioxiformes, Branchiostomatidae.